GUAAACUAUGAGAGNUAGCNGUCGGCAAGUUNACUNGUCGGUGGCGCAGCUAACGCANUAAGCUCUCCGCCUGGNGAGUACGGUCGCAAGAUUCANACUCAAAGGAAUUGAGGGGGGNCCCGCAACAAGCGGUGGAGCAUGUGGUUUAAUUCGAAGCAACGCGCAGAACCUUACCAGCCCUUGACAUCCCGGUCGCGGUUUCCAGAGAUGGAUUCCUUCAGUUCGGCUGGACCGGUGACAGGUGCUGCAUGGNNGUCGUCAGCUCGUGUCGUGAGAUGUUGGGUUAAGUCCCGACAACGAGCGCAACCCUCGCCCUUAGUUGCCAGCAUUAAGUUGGGCACUCUAAGGGGACUGNCCGGUGAUAAGCCGAGAGGAAGGUGGGGAUGACGUCAAGUCCUCAUGGCCCUUACGGGCUGGGCUACACACGUGNUACAAUGGUGGUGACAGCGGGCAGNGAGACCGCGAGGUCGAGCUAAUCUCCAAAAGCCAUCUCAGUUCGGAUUGCACUCUGCAACUCGAGUGCAUGAAGUUGGAAUCGCUAGUAAUCGCGGAUCAGCAUGCCGCGGNGAAUACGUUCCCGGGCCUUGUACACACCGCCCGUCACAGCCAUGGGAGUUGGUUUUACCCGAAUGGCGCUGUGCUAACCGCCAAGGAGNCAGGCGACCACGGUAGGGUCAGCGAGAUGGGGUGAAGUCNUAAANAGGUACC
Molecule: ribosomal RNA, 708 nt
Filed under: uncultured bacterium
Lineage: Bacteria
Description: partial 16S ribosomal RNA
Rfam family: Bacterial small subunit ribosomal RNA
Source: RNAcentral